GGGGGCGUAACUCAGUGGUAGAGUGUCCGCUUCGCAUGCGGAAAGCCGCGGGUUCAAACCCCGUCGCCUCCA
This 72-nucleotide transfer RNA is filed under the name Lepeophtheirus salmonis (salmon louse). RNAcentral describes it as "transfer RNA alanine (anticodon CGC)". It matches the Rfam family "tRNA". From Rfam's summary of the family: Transfer RNA (tRNA) molecules are approximately 80 nucleotides in length. Lineage: Eukaryota; Metazoa; Arthropoda; Copepoda; Siphonostomatoida; Caligidae. The record is from Rfam by way of RNAcentral.